UAGGGAAUCUUCGGCAAUGGACGAAAGCCUGACCGAGCAACGCCGCGUGAGUGAAGAAGGUUUUCGGAUCGUAAAACUCUGUUGUUAGAGAAGAACAAGGACGUUAGUAACUGAACGUCCCCUGACGGUAUCUAACCAGAAAGCCACGGCUAACUACGUGCCAGCAGCCGCGGUAAUACGUAGGUGGCAAGCGUUGUCCGGAUUUAUUGGGCGUAAAGCGAGCGCAGGCGGUUUCUUAAGUCUGAUGUGAAAGCCCCCGGCUCAACCGGGGAGGGUCAUUGGAAACUGGGAGACUUGAGUGGAGAAGAGGGGAGGGGAAUUCCAUGUGUAGCGGUGAAAUGCGUAGAUAUCUGGGGGAACACCAGUGGCGAAGGCGGCUCUCUGGUCUGUAACUGACGCUGAGGCUCGAAAGCGUGGGGAGCAAACAGG
RNAcentral lists this ribosomal RNA (429 nucleotides) under Gemmatimonadota bacterium. Its description in RNAcentral is "Gemmatimonadetes bacterium partial 16S ribosomal RNA". It matches the Rfam family "Bacterial small subunit ribosomal RNA", at positions 355 to 776 of the family's 1533-position model. Lineage: Bacteria; Pseudomonadati; Gemmatimonadota. The record is from RNAcentral.